AUACCUAUAACGUUGCCUCGGCGGGAACAGACGGCCCCGUAACACGGGCCGCCCCCGCCAGAGGACCCCCUAACUCUGUUUCUAUAAUGUUUCUUCUGAGUAAACAAGCAAAUAAAUUAAAACUUUCAACAACGGAUCUCUUGGCUCUGGCAUCGAUGAAGAACGCAGCGAAAUGCGAUAAGUAAUGUGAAUUGCAGAAUUCAGUGAAUCAUCGAAUCUUUGAACGCACAUUGCGCCCGCCAGUAUUCUGGCGGGCAUGCCUGUUCGAGCGUCAUUACAACCCUCAGGCCCCCGGGCCUGGCGUUGGGGAUCGGCGGAAGCCCCCUGCGGGCACAACGCCGUCCCCCAAAUACAGUGGCGGUCCCGCCGCAGCUUCCAUUGCGUAGUAGCUAACACCUCGCAACUGGAGAGCGGCGCGGCCACGCCGUAAAACACCCAACUUCUGAAUGUUGACCUCGAAUCAGGUAGGAAUACCCGCUGAACUUAAGCAUAUCAAAAAUGGGGAGAGGA
This 510-nucleotide ribosomal RNA is filed under the name Fusarium solani. RNAcentral's name for it is "eukaryotic LSU rRNA". The stretch from base 121 to 274 matches the Rfam family "5.8S ribosomal RNA". The record is from RNAcentral. Lineage: Eukaryota; Fungi; Ascomycota; Sordariomycetes; Hypocreales; Nectriaceae.